This 411-nucleotide ribosomal RNA is filed under the name Triticum aestivum (bread wheat). Its description in RNAcentral is "partial small subunit ribosomal RNA". The record is from RNAcentral. Lineage: Eukaryota; Viridiplantae; Streptophyta; Magnoliopsida; Poales; Poaceae.
AUGGAACCGACCUGGCCGGAGAUGGCGGAGGGCCUGGCGCCAACCGAGACCAUCUUCGAGCCCCAGACCGAUGAGGGGAACGACCUGGACGAGCGGGUGGUGGCGGCCGUCGACGACCCGGAGGUCGUGGAGACUGACGAGGACACCCCACGCCGGGACAACGUGGCCGAGCGGGUGGAGGUCGAAGGAGGGGGUCGCGCGGAGGACGCCGCCCUGGAUGGAGCGCCGCGGGAGACGCCGGCCAAAGCGCCAGGGUCGACACCGGCCGUGGAGGAGCCGGCGGGAGGUGAGCACGCCGUGGUGAUCAUACCGUCGCAGGCUGCCGUGAACCCGGAGCAAGCGCCGGGGAGCGGCCCCGUCGCCGGGUCGCAGCAGCCCCGGGCCGGAUUCAUGUUUGGGCCGCCUGCCUAG